This 68-nucleotide transfer RNA is filed under the name Nacella magellanica. Its description in RNAcentral is "tRNA-Ser". The record is from RNAcentral. Lineage: Eukaryota; Metazoa; Mollusca; Gastropoda; Nacellidae.
UAUUACUUAGCACGGAGCAAAAUCGUUUUGAAAUCGAUUUUAAAGAGUUCAAUUCUCUUAGAAAAAAU